GGUUAAGCGACUAAGCGUACACGGUGGAUGCCCCGGCAGUCAGAGGCGAUGAAGGACGUGCUAAUCUGCGAUAAGCGUCGGUAAGGUGAUAUGAACCGUUAUAACCGGCGAUUUCCGAAUGGGGAAACCCAGUGUGUUUCGACACACUAUCAUUAACUGAAUCCAUAGGUUAAUGAGGCGAACCGGGGGAACUGAAACAUCUAAGUACCCCGAGGAAAAGAAAUCAACCGAGAUUCCCCCAGUAGCGGCGAGCGAACGGGGAGUAGCCCAGAGCCUGAAUCAGUGUGUGUGUUAGUGGAAGCGUCUGGAAAGGCGCGCGAUACAGGGUGACAGCCCCGUACACAAAAAUGCACAUGCUGUGAGCUCGAUGAGUAGGGCGGGACACGUGGUAUCCUGUCUGAAUAUGGGGGACCAUCCUCCAAGGCUAAAUACUCCUGACUGACCGAUAGUGAACCAGUACCGUGAGGGAAAGGCGAAAAGAACCCCGGCGAGGGGAGUGAAAAAGAACCUGAAACCGUGUACGUACAAGCAGUGGGAGCACGCUUCGGCGUGUGACUGCGUACCUUUUGUAUAAUGGGUCAGCGACUUAUAUUCUGUAGCAAGGUUAACCGAAUAGGGGAGCCGAAGGGAAACCGAGUCUUAACUGGGCGUUAAGUUGCAGGGUAUAGACCCGAAACCCGGUGAUCUAGCCAUGGGCAGGUUGAAGGUUGGGUAACACUAACUGGAGGACCGAACCGACUAAUGUUGAAAAAUUAGCGGAUGACUUGUGGCUGGGGGUGAAAGGCCAAUCAAACCGGGAGAUAGCUGGUUCUCCCCGAAAGCUAUUUAGGUAGCGCCUCGUGAAUUCAUCUCCGGGGGUAGAGCACUGUUUCGGCAAGGGGGUCAUCCCGACUUACCAACCCGAUGCAAACUGCGAAUACCGGAGAAUGUUAUCACGGGAGACACACGGCGGGUGCUAACGUCCGUCGUGAAGAGGGAAACAACCCAGACCGCCAGCUAAGGUCCCAAAGUCAUGGUUAAGUGGGAAACGAUGUGGGAAGGCCCAGACAGCCGGGAUGUUGGCUUAGAAGCAGCCAUCAUUUAAAGAAAGCGUAAUAGCUCACUGGUCGAGUCGGCCUGCGCGGAAGAUGUAACGGGGCUAAACCAUGCACCGAAGCUGCGGCAGCGACGCUGAUGCGUUGUUGGGUAGGGGAGCGUUCUGUAAGCCUGCGAAGGUGUGCUGUGAGGCAUGCUGGAGGUAUCAGAAGUGCGAAUGCUGACAUAAGUAACGAUAAAGCGGGUGAAAAGCCCGCUCGCCGGAAGACCAAGGGUUCCUGUCCAACGUUAAUCGGGGCAGGGUGAGUCGACCCCUAAGGCGAGGCCGAAAGGCGUAGUCGAUGGGAAACAGGUUAAUAUUCCUGUACUUGGUGUUACUGCGAAGGGGGACGGAGAAGGCUAUGUUGGCCGGGCGACGGUUGUCCCGGUUUAAGCGUGUAGGCUGGUUUUCCGGGCAAAUCCGGAAAAUCAAGGCUGAGGCGUGAUGACGAGGCACUACGGUGCUGAAGCAACAAAUGCCCUGCUUCCGGGAAAAGCCUCUAAGCAUCAGGUAACAUCAAAUCGUACCCCAAACCGACACAGGUGGUCAGGUAGAGAAUACCAAGGCGCUUGAGAGAACUCGGGUGAAGGAACUAGGCAAAAUGGUGCCGUAACUUCGGGAGAAGGCACGCUGAUAUGUAGGUGAAGCGACUUGCUCGUGGAGCUGAAAUCAGUCGAAGAUACCAGCUGGCUGCAACUGUUUAUUAAAAACACAGCACUGUGCAAACACGAAAGUGGACGUAUACGGUGUGACGCCUGCCCGGUGCCGGAAGGUUAAUUGAUGGGGUCAGCGCAAGCGAAGCUCUUGAUCGAAGCCCCGGUAAACGGCGGCCGUAACUAUAACGGUCCUAAGGUAGCGAAAUUCCUUGUCGGGUAAGUUCCGACCUGCACGAAUGGCGUAAUGAUGGCCGGGCUGUCUCCACCCGAGACUCAGUGAAAUUGAACUCGCUGUGAAGAUGCAGUGUACCCGCGGCAAGACGGAAAGACCCCGUGAACCUUUACUAUAGCUUGACACUGAACAUUGAGCCUUGAUGUGUAGGAUAGGUGGGAGGCUUUGAAGUGUGGACGCCAGUCUGCAUGGAGCCGACCUUGAAAUACCACCCUUUAAUGUUUGAUGUUCUAACGUUGACCCGUAAUCCGGGUUGCGGACAGUGUCUGGUGGGUAGUUUGACUGGGGCGGUCUCCUCCUAAAGAGUAACGGAGGAGCACGAAGGUUGGCUAAUCCUGGUCGGACAUCAGGAGGUUAGUGCAAUGGCAUAAGCCAGCUUGACUGCGAGCGUGACGGCGCGAGCAGGUGCGAAAGCAGGUCAUAGUGAUCCGGUGGUUCUGAAUGGAAGGGCCAUCGCUCAACGGAUAAAAGGUACUCCGGGGAUAACAGGCUGAUACCGCCCAAGAGUUCAUAUCGACGGCGGUGUUUGGCACCUCGAUGUCGGCUCAUCACAUCCUGGGGCUGAAGUAGGUCCCAAGGGUAUGGCUGUUCGCCAUUUAAAGUGGUACGCGAGCUGGGUUUAGAACGUCGUGAGACAGUUCGGUCCCUAUCUGCCGUGGGCGCUGGAGAACUGAGGGGGCUGCUCCUAGUACGAGAGGACCGGAGUGGACGCAUCACUGGUGUUCGGGUUGUCAUGCCAAUGGCACUGCCCGGUAGCUAAAUGCGGAAGAGAUAAGUGCUGAAAGCAUCUAAGCACGAAACUUGCCCCGAGAUGAGUUCUCCCUGACUCCUUGAGAGUCCUGAAGGAACGUUGAAGACGACGACGUUGAUAGGCCGGGUGUGUAAGCGCAGCGAUGCGUUGAGCUAACCGGUACUAAUGAACCGUGAGGCUUAACCUU
This 2901-nucleotide ribosomal RNA is filed under the name Escherichia coli. Its description in RNAcentral is "23S ribosomal RNA". It matches the Rfam family "Bacterial large subunit ribosomal RNA". The record is from RNAcentral. Lineage: Bacteria; Pseudomonadati; Pseudomonadota; Gammaproteobacteria; Enterobacterales; Enterobacteriaceae.